RNAcentral lists this ribosomal RNA (301 nucleotides) under uncultured bacterium. Its description in RNAcentral is "partial 16S ribosomal RNA". It matches the Rfam family "Bacterial small subunit ribosomal RNA", at positions 509 to 809 of the family's 1533-position model. The record is from RNAcentral.
CAGUAGCCGCGGUAAUACGAAGGUCCCGAGCGUUGUUCGGAAUCACUGGGCGUAAAGGGAGCGUAGGCGGCGUGGUAAGUCAGAUGUGAAAUCCCGGGGCUCAACCCCGGAACUGCAUCCGAUACUGCCAUGCUAGAGGAUUGGAGAGGUAGCUGGAAUUCUUGGUGUGGCAGUGAAAUGCGUGGAGAUCAAGAGGAACACUCGUGGCGAAAGCGAGCUACUGGACAAUAACUGACGCUGAGGCUCGAAGGCCAGGGUAGCGAAAGGGAUUAGAUACCCCAGUAGUCCCUGUCUCUUAUAA